RNAcentral lists this transfer RNA (68 nucleotides) under Salmo salar (Atlantic salmon). It matches the Rfam family "tRNA". Rfam says of the family: Transfer RNA (tRNA) molecules are approximately 80 nucleotides in length. Their secondary structure includes four short double-helical elements and three loops (D, anti-codon, and T loops). Lineage: Eukaryota; Metazoa; Chordata; Actinopteri; Salmoniformes; Salmonidae. The record is from Rfam by way of RNAcentral.
CCCUCUAGCUCAGUUGGUAGAGCAUGGUGUUUGCAACGCCAGGGUUGUGGGUUCGGUUCCCACGGGGG